GACAGAGGUCCCGAGCGUUAGGCGGAAUCACUGGGCUUAAAGCGUGUGUAGGCGGAUCUGUAAGUACCUUGUGAAAUCCCACGGCUUAACCGUGGAACUGCUCGGUAUACUGCGGAUCUUGAGCCACCUAGGGGCAACCGGAACAAACGGUGGAGCGGUGAAAUGCGUAGAUAUCGUUUGGAACGCCAAUGGUGAAAACAGGUUGCUGGGGGUGUGCUGGCGCUGAGACACGAAAGCCAGGGGAGCAAACGGG
This 253-nucleotide ribosomal RNA is filed under the name uncultured bacterium. RNAcentral describes it as "partial 16S ribosomal RNA". It matches the Rfam family "Bacterial small subunit ribosomal RNA", at positions 524 to 776 of the family's 1533-position model. The record is from RNAcentral.